CCUUUUCAUUAAUUCUAUAAUUUGUUUUAUUUUAUUUUUUAUCCAGAUGAACUGAAAGAACAUAAAAGCAGGUAAAAACUGGGCACCAGACAAGAACAGCAGAGUCUGCUCCAUGCAUUUUGCUGAUGGUGCACCAUCCCCCUCCUUUCCAAACCCUACACUGAAUCUAGUUUACCCAGUGCCAUCAACUAGUACAGGAAAGAAACGGGCACCACCAAAACCACGUACACCUGUUACAGUCCGAGCAUCGAAGAGGCAGAAACUCAACAUCCAGAGUACAAAAAUUUGAAUAUACUGCUUACUCCCAAUCGGUUAACAGAAUUUGUGUGUGUGCUUGAACAGAUUGUAUAAUACUAUUCAUUUAUUACAUCCUUCCAGGCCCCAGCACAGAAGAUGCACAGAAUCAAGG
This 409-nucleotide long non-coding RNA is filed under the name Neogobius melanostomus (round goby). RNAcentral's name for it is "lncRNA (ENSNMLG00000000390.1)". The record is from RNAcentral. Lineage: Eukaryota; Metazoa; Chordata; Actinopteri; Gobiiformes; Gobiidae.